Molecule: long non-coding RNA, 3531 nt
Organism: Macaca fascicularis (crab-eating macaque)
Lineage: Eukaryota; Metazoa; Chordata; Mammalia; Primates; Cercopithecidae
Source: Ensembl
AGAUUCACGUAAGAAUGAAUGAAAGUGGUACUGCCUUAGAAAUCACACACCAAAGAUUCUAUAGGUAUUUUUAUUAAACUGACAUCCUUUAACUUAUCCUUUAAAAUUAGUCAUUUCUAUGUCAUCUUUUAUUUAGAAAAAAUGACGUCAUGUCAUAUCAUGUCAGUUGCAUAUUAUUUCUAAUAGGCAGCUGACAUGAUAUAUAUAUACACACACACACAUACACACUUAUAUGUAUAUACACAUAUAUACACAUAUAUAGGUGUAUAUAUGUGUGUGUGUGUAUGCGUGUGUAUAUAUAUAUAUAUCAUGUCAACUGCCUAUUAGAAAUAACUCCCUUUGGUCCUUAGAGUGAAGUUAUUCCCAUUUCACAGAUGAGUAAACUUGGAUGUACUGAAUAACUUGUCCAAGGUCACAGAAGUUGUGCACAAUUGGGAUUUGAACUCAGGGUUGUCUAAUGCCCAAACCUGUGUUCUUUUUAUUGUACCAUUUGGCGUCUCAUUUUUUUUCUGAGUCCAAUCACUCUUUAUGAACGUUCUUUAAAGAACUGACCUAAUUCCAACAAACACUUUGAGAAACAAAGGAAGGAAAAUAGAUUUUUACAGUAGGAAAGCUAACAUUUUAAAAUCUUAAAUUCACUUGAAUCUCUCUGGCUGCCGAUCUGAGGACCUAAAUGCCUUUUUAACUAGUGAAAUGAAAAUUCUUGCCUGGGUGCAGUGGCUCAUGCCUCUAAUCCCAGCACUUUGGGAGGCCGAGGCGGGUGGAUAGCCUGAGGUCAGGAGUUCAAGACUAGCCUGACCAACAUGGUGAAACCCCUUCUCUACUAAAAACUCAAAAAAUUAGCCAGGCAUGGUGGCGAGUGCCUGUAAUCCCAGCUACUCAGGAGGCUGAGACAGGAGAAUCGCUCAAAUCCAGGAGGCAGAGGUUGCAGUGAGCCGAGACUGCGCCAAUUGCACUCCAGCCUGGAUAACAAAAGCAAAACUCUGUCUCAAAAGAAAGAAAGAAAAUUCUCGAAAAUAAAAUGUGAAGAAGUAAAAAGUUAAAAAAUUUUUUUUCUUGUAGUAAUUACUAAGUAGUGUUAACUUCAAGCCCUAAAUUUAUGUUCACAAAUUUAGGCUCAUCUGUUUUCCCCAGUACAUUAUAAGUUCCAUGAGGGCAGGGGCCUGGAGCAUAGUGAGCAGUAAAUAUCUGUUGAAUAAAGGAAUGAAAUUCUGUAAUUUACUUCUUAUGACUUUUUAAAAAGUCAUCUUUACCCACGUGCCUGCCAUAUAUGUCUUCUGUCCUUAUAUUGCUCCUGAACUUCUCUGUCUUCCACUGUUUGGUGGGCAUCUUUGCUGGGAUGUUUUAUUGUCACCUCAUACUGAACCAUGUGUAACACCAAACUUCCUAUCCUCAUUGAAAAAAAUAGUCUUUUUCUUUGUACUUCCUUAUUUGGUUUAGCUAAAUCCAAAUUUAGCUAACCAAAGGUCAAAACUUAGGAGUAAUCUUUGGCUCUUUCUACCUGUUUGUUUUUUCUGCUCUUACACUGUAUAAAUUUGUUUCUUUUUAUUUCUUCUGUUGCCAUUCUAGUGCACCUAGUCCUUCACCUCAUUGCUGACCUGCUUCUGUUGCACUUUAACUGUUCUCUUACACCUGCAGAGUCUGUUUCACACUUUGUCAUAUCAGUCUUCUAAAAACAGUGAUAGACUGGAUAAAGAAAAUGUGGCACAUAGACACUGUGGAAUACUGUGCAGCCGUAAAAAAGGGUGAGUUCAUGUUCUUUGCAGGGACAUGGAUGAAGCUGGAAACCAUCAUUCUUAGCAAACUAACAUAGGAACGGACAACCAAACACCUGUUCUCACUCAUAAAUGGAAGCAGGGAGGGGAACAUCACACACUGGGGCUUUCGGUGGGUGGGGGUUAGGGGAGGGAUAGCGUUAGGAGAAAUACCUACUGUAGAAUAUGGGUUGAUGGGUACAGCAAACCACCUUGACAUGUGUAUACCUAUGUAACAAAUCUGCACGUUCUGCACAUGUAUCCCAGAACUUAAAGUGUAAUAAAAAGCAAAAACGUAUCUCUUAUUUUACUUCUUUUAUUACCUCUAAAAUGAUCCUCAGCAGAAGGCUCCCAUUCCCUUCACAUCCCUUUUUUUCCUAACCAAAUCUUUCCACUUCAUGGUUUUUCUAUGUUUGCUAAAUUCAGCACCUCCCUCCUCACUGCUCCCCCAUUCUUUCUUUUCGUCUCUGCUUACCAAGGCCCAUCUUCAGUUCUCUAUAAUCUAUAAUAGUUAAUUUUCCCAAAUCAUACCUUUUUUUUUUUUUUGAGAGACAAGAUCUUGUUCUGUCAUCCAGGCUGGAGGGCAGUGCUCCUGGGCUCAAGUGGUCCUCCCACCUCAGUGUGCCCAGCCAAUUUUUAAAUUUUUUUGUAGAAAUGAGGUCUCACUUUGUUGCCCAGGCCAGUCUGGAACUCCUGUCCCCAAGAGAUCAUCUCGCCUUGACCUCCCAAAGUGCUGGAAUUACAGGCAUGAGCCACUGCACCUGACCCCAUUAUCUUCUUUUGAAAUAAGUCAUCAGCUAAUUCACUUCAUAAGUAUCUGCUGAAUAUUAUGUGUUAGGUACUGUGCUGUUCCUUGAGGAUAUGAAGGUGUGUAAGAAUCAGGCCUUGCUUUCCCCUCAGAGAACUUAUAAUUAUAACUAUGAAGGGAAGACAGCUACGUGCACAGCAAUUAGAACUUCAUAAUAAAAAUACAGGCAAUAUGUGUUGCUGGACUAAGAUGUGAUCAACUAACUCUUUUGGGGGUUCUGGUGGAAGACAUCACAGAAGAGAGGACAUUUGGGCAGGUCCGAGAGGUUUAGUAUGAGUAGACCAUCUUGGGGAGAAAGGCAUUCCAGAAGGAAUGAAGAGCUGAUCUGCAAAGGCAAAGAAUUACGGAUUAUCAUACUUAGUGUAUUAAUUUCCUAGGGCUGUUACAGUGAAGUACCACAAACUCAUGGCAUAAACAACAGAAAUUUAUUCUCUCAUAGUUCUGGGGGCUAGAAGCCUGAAAUCAAGGUGCUGGCAGGGCCACGAUCUCUCUGAAGACUCUGAGGGAGGAUCUGUUUCAUGCUUUUCUCUUCGCUUCUGGAGUUGCCAGCAGUCCUUGGCAUUUUGGCUUGUAGAUGCAUCACUUCAGUCUCUGCCUCCGUCCUUUCAAUCUCACGUGCUACUCUCCCUCCCUUUGUGUCUCUAUCUUUUCUCUUAAGAGUACCAGUCAGGCCGGGCGUGGUGGCUCAAGCCUGUAAUCCCAGCACUUUGGGAGGCCGAGACGGGUGGAUCACGAGGUCAGAAGAUCGAGACCAUCCUGGCUAACACGGUGAAAUCCCGUCUCUACUAAAAAUACAAAAACUAGCGAGCCGGUGGCGAAGCCUGUAGUCCCAGCUACUUGGGAGGCUGAGGGAGGAGAAUGGCGUGAACCCGGGAGGGGGGGCUUGCAGUGAGCUGAGAUCCGGCCACUGCACUCCAGCCUGGGCGACAGAGCAAGACUCCGUCUCAAAAAAAAAAAAAAAAAAAAAAA